Molecule: long non-coding RNA, 2438 nt
Organism: Dioscorea cayenensis subsp. rotundata (Guinea yam)
Lineage: Eukaryota; Viridiplantae; Streptophyta; Magnoliopsida; Dioscoreales; Dioscoreaceae
Exons: 3
Source: RefSeq, a predicted model, not a curated record
UCCUCUCCCGAAAUUAGGGCAGCGUUCAAGCCCCUCUCCCACUCCCAGGUGCCGACGCUGCCGCCGUUUCCCUCCCCCUCUCUCGGCCGUCGUUAACAUCAUCUCCUUCUCUCCCGCUCUCGGCCGCCGUUCAAGCCGCCGCCUCCUCUCCCGCUCCUGAUCAGUUCACUCCACCACUCCCGGCCGCUUCACUCCCCCGCUCCCGAUACUCGUUCUGACCGCUCUCUUCCCUCCCCCGUUCCCGGUACCCGUUCCGGCCGCCGCUUUCCUCUCCCGCUCACGGCCGUCGCCCCUCUCUCGUUUGGCUUUGAAGAGAAACUAGGGCAUAGAUCGGCCCUAGUUUGUGUCUCUCUCGUGUUCUCUCGUGUCGGAUUCUCUCGCUCUCUCUCUCUCUCUCUCUCUCGUGUGGCUCUAUGCUCCCGACCGCCGCUUCCCUCCCCCGCUCCCGGCCGCCGCCGCCUCUCUCGUUUGGCUUUGAAGAGAAACUAGGGCACAGAUCAUCCCUAAUUUGUGUCUCUCUCGUGCCGUGUGGAACUCUCUCUCGUGUGGCUGGUUCUCCGAAUUUCUUGAAAUCAGGUUAUUGUUAUUGUUUUGAAUGCAAUGGCUGGUUCAUAACGUGAAUUGAAGGAUGAUACAAGUGCAUCACGUGAAGAAAAGAAGGUAAUGAUUCCCUAGGUAAAGCUAAGAGCCUUUAAAAUUUUAGUCUUAGGUAUACGCUAAUUUUAUUAUUUUGAAUGCAAGGGCUGUUCAUAACCGAUAAUGCUGAAUUCUAGUUCCCAUUAAUUGUAGCAGGAGUCUUGGAAUGGCAUUUAAAUUUUUUCAAGUCUUUGUAAUGUUGAACAAUAAUGCUGAAUUCUGGUUCCUGUAUGAUACCUAUAUCUUAAAACUAUGAAUGCUUUGAUUAAUUUUGUUCUAUAAAUUGAGCCCAUUAAUUUUGAUUAAUUUUGUCAGCUCCUCCGUUUGAUUUAUUUUUUGUUGCUGUUUAUUUGUUUAUUUUUUUUAAGUUUCAAGAAAUCAAUUAAUAUCUUUAGUUUGUGCCCUGUUGAAUAUGUGCAAUAUAUUGAGUUUAAUAGCAAACUGUGGAUUGAACUUCUGCAAGUUCAUGGCUUCUUGUUUGAUGGUUUUGAAAGCCUUUUAUAAUAUAUCAAGUAUGAGACUGAUGAAAAUGCCAGAUAGUGGUAAUGAUCUCAUUGAUUCAUACUUCCUGUGCCAUUUGCUACUGGAUGGUGAUAACUUUGGGUGCAUGCAUCUUGAUGGCGUUAUUACAAUGAGAGAAUUUAUUCAUAGGCUUCCUUCUUUAUGCUUUUGAUCCCUUGGAGACCUUAUGGUUUGGAAUCAUCUCCAGGCCUCAUUAUUGAUGGCAUGAACCAUGCCGUGGGGACUGCUAGCAUUAGGUGGAAUGAAUGCAUGAUGCACAGGCCAAGCCUGUCUUGUUGUACUCUUGCAAUGACAAUGUUGUCAGCCUCUAUGAUUUGCCAUCGUAAGUAUCAUCUUAUAUUAAGCAGUCAAAACAAAUGAAAUGAUCACUGUUGUGCUUUAACUCUGGUGUCCUGUUUUUCUUCCAUUUUUCUUUGUUCACCGAGAGGGGCAAGAUUUUCUCCAAGGAUGAAGUGCGGGCAAUGCAAGUUGGCCCAGGGGGCUUAUUUUUCACUGGAGAUGGUACUGGUGAGGUGAAGGUAUGGAAAUGGUCGGCAAACGAGACACAAAGCGUGAACUAGAGACAGACCCCCCGGGUGAUCUUAUAGUCUUCAUUACACGUAUGUUAAGAGCGUCCACUAGAGGAGGUGUACACGGCCAAUUUUUGUCAAUUGCCAAAUUGAGGCUCACCACCAGAUUUGUUGUUUGCUAAACCAUCAAGAGGCCUCUCACUACAAGAAAACAUGGGCAUCAGAGACGGAAAAUUCCGUCACUAAUAGGUAAAAUUUCGUUGGUGAUAACUUUUACCAACGGAAUAUUCCGUUGGAAAUUUCCGUCGCUGAAAAGCAAGUGGCUAAUGCUAUUCCGUUGGAAAAAUUAAUUCCGUUGGUGAUAUUAAACUAUUACCAACGGAAUUUUCCGUUCCUGAAGAUGUUUAUUAGUAACGGAAAUUCUGUCCUGAAGGUGUUUAUUACCAACGGAAUUAUUCGUCACCAAAAGCAUUCAUUACCAACGAAAAUUCAGUCACUGAAAAUAUUUAUUACCAACGGAAUUUCCGUCACUAAAGGUUUUAUCACCAAUGGAAUUUACGUCACUGAAAGUGUUUAUUUCCAACGGAAUUCCGUCUAUGAUAGUCUUUAUCACCCACGGAAUUCCAUCCUUGAAUGUGUUUAUUACCAACGGAAUUUCGUUACUAAUACUUUUUAUCACCCACGAAAUUCCGUCCCUAAAAGUCUUUGUUACCAAUGAAAUUCCGUUUGUGAUAGUAUUUUUUUAUAUUUAUAUUAUUUUUUUUUGGUUCA